UGGGGAAUUUUGGACAAUGGGCGAAAGCCUGAUCCAGCAAUGCCGCGUGUGUGAAGAAGGCCUUCGGGUUGUAAAGCACUUUUGUCCGGAAAGAAAUGGCUCUGGUUAAUACCUGGGGUCGAUGACGGUACCGGAAGAAUAAGGACCGGCUAACUACGUGCCAGCAGCCGCGGUAAUACGUAGGGUCCAAGCGUUAAUCGGAAUUACUGGGCGUAAAGCGUGCGCAGGCGGUUGUGCAAGGCCGAUGUGAAAUCCCCGAGCUUAACUUGGGAAUUGCAUUGGUGACUGCACGGCUAGAGUGUGUCAGAGGGGGGUAGAAUUCCACGUGUAGCAGUGAAAUGCGUAGAGAUGUGGAGGAAUACCGAUGGCGAAGGCAGCCCCCUGGGAUAACACUGACGCUCAUGCACGAAAGCGUGGGGAGCAAACAGGAUUAGAUACCCUGGUAGUCCACGCCCUAAACGAUGUCAACUAGUUGUUGGGGAUUCAUUUCCUUAGUAACGUAGCUAACGCGUGAAGUUG
This 519-nucleotide ribosomal RNA is filed under the name uncultured bacterium. RNAcentral's name for it is "partial 16S ribosomal RNA". It matches the Rfam family "Bacterial small subunit ribosomal RNA", at positions 355 to 867 of the family's 1533-position model. The record is from RNAcentral.